AUUGAACGCUGGCGGCAGGCUUAACACAUGCAAGUCGAGCGGAGUGAUGGUGCUUGCACUAUCACUUAGCGGCGGACGGGUGAGUAAUGCCUAGGAAUCUGCCUAUUAGUGGGGGACAACAUCUCGAAAGGGAUGCUAAUACCGCAUACGUCCUACGGGAGAAAGCAGGGGAUCACUUGUGACCUUGCGCUAAUAGAUGAGCCUAAGUCGGAUUAGCUAGUUGGUGGGGUAAAGGCCUACCAAGGCGACGAUCUGUAGCGGGUCGGAGAGGAUGAUCCGCCACACUGGGACUGAGACACGGCCCAGACUCCUACGGGAGGCAGCAGUGGGGAAUAUUGGACAAUGGGGGGAACCCUGAUCCAGCCAUGCCGCGUGUGUGAAGAAGGCCCUAUGGUUGUAAAGCACUUUAAGCGAGGAGGAGGCUCUUUUGGUUAAUACCCAAGAUGAGUGGACGUUACUCGCAGAAUAAGCACCGGCUAACUCUGUGCCAGCCGCCGCCGUAA
Molecule: ribosomal RNA, 503 nt
Filed under: uncultured bacterium
Lineage: Bacteria
Description: partial 16S ribosomal RNA
Rfam family: Bacterial small subunit ribosomal RNA
Source: RNAcentral